GACGAACGCUGGCGGCGUGCUUAACACAUGCAAGUCGAACGGUGAAGCUCCAGCUUGCUGGAGUGGAUCAGUGGCGAACGGGUGAGUAACACGUGAGCAACCUGCCCCUGACUCUGGAAUAAGCGCUGGAAACGGCGUCUAAUACUGGAUACGAGAAGGGUCCGCAUGGGUACUUUCUGGAAAGUUUUUCGGUUGGGGAUGGGCUCGCGGCCUAUCAGCUUGUUGGUGAGGUAAUGGCUCACCAAGGCGACGACGGGUAGCCGGCCUGAGAGGGCGACCGGCCACACUGGGACUGAGACACGGCCCAGACUCCUACGGGAGGCAGCAGUGGGGAAUAUUGCACAAUGGGCGAAAGCCUGAUGCAGCGACGCCGCGUGAGGGAUGACGGCCUUCGGGUUGUAAACCUCUUUCAGCAGGGAAGAAGCGAAAGUGACGGUACCUGCAGAAGAAGCACCGGCUAACUACGUG
Molecule: ribosomal RNA, 468 nt
Filed under: uncultured bacterium
Lineage: Bacteria
Description: partial 16S ribosomal RNA
Rfam family: Bacterial small subunit ribosomal RNA
Source: RNAcentral